UGGGGAAUUUUGGACAAUGGGCGAAAGCCUGAUCCAGCAAUGCCGCGUGUGUGAAGAAGGCCUUCGGGUUGUAAAGCACUUUUGUCCGGAAAGAAAUCCUUGGCUCUAAUACAGUCGGGGGAUGACGGUACCGGAAGAAUAAGCACCGGCUAACUACGUGCCAGCAGCCGCGGUAAUACGUAGGGUGCAAGCGUUAAUCGGAAUUACUGGGCGUAAAGCGUGCGCAGGCGGUUUGCUAAGACCGAUGUGAAAUCCCCGGGCUCAACCUGGGAACUGCAUUGGUGACUGGCAGGCUAGAGUAUGGCAGAGGGGGGUAGAAUUCCACGUGUAGCAGUGAAAUGCGUAGAGAUGUGGAGGAAUACCGAUGGCGAAGGCAGCCCCCUGGGGCCAAAUACUGACGCUCAUGCACGAAAGCGUGGGGAGCAAACAGGAUUAGAUACCCUGGUAGUCCACGCCCUAAACGAUGUCAACUAGUUGUUGGGGAUUCAUUUCCUUAGUAACGUAGCUAACGCGUGAAGUUGACCGCCUGGGGAGUACGGUCGCAAGAUUAAAACUCAAAUGAAUUGACGGGGU
This 573-nucleotide ribosomal RNA is filed under the name uncultured bacterium. Its description in RNAcentral is "partial 16S ribosomal RNA". It matches the Rfam family "Bacterial small subunit ribosomal RNA", at positions 355 to 919 of the family's 1533-position model. The record is from RNAcentral.